Molecule: ribosomal RNA, 495 nt
Filed under: uncultured bacterium
Lineage: Bacteria
Description: partial 16S ribosomal RNA
Rfam family: Bacterial small subunit ribosomal RNA
Source: RNAcentral
GAUGAACGCUGGCGGCGUGCCUAAUACAUGCAAGUCGAGCGAACAGAUGAGGAGCUUGCUCCUCUGACGUUAGCGGCGGACGGGUGAGUAACACGUGGAUAACCUACCUAUAAGACUGGGAUAACUUCGGGAAACCGGAGCUAAUACCGGAUAAUAUAUUGAACCGCAUGGUUCAAUAGUGAAAGACGGUUUUGCUGUCACUUAUAGAUGGAUCCGCGCCGCAUUAGCUAGUUGGUAAGGUAACGGCUUACCAAGGCAACGAUGCGUAGCCGACCUGAGAGGGGGUCCGGCCAACCGGGAACUGACACCCGGUCCAGACCCCAACGGGGGGCAGAAGUGGGGAAUUUUCCGAAAGGGGGAAAAGCCUGACGGAGCACCCCCGGGGGGGUGAAGAGGUUCUUGGGACCUAAAACCUUUUUUUUUAGGGAAAAAAAAAUUUUAAAGAAACUAGCCCGGUUUUAAGGUUACCAAACCAAAAACCCCCGGCUAACUACG